AUCAAUAAGCGGAGGAAAAGAAACCAACAGGGAUUGCCCUAGUAACGGCGAGUGAAGCGGCAACAGCUCAAAUUUGAAAUCUGGCCUUUGGCCCGAGUUGUAAUUUGUAGAGGAUGCUUUUGGCGCGGUGCCUUCUGAGUUCCCUGGAACGGGACGCCAGAGAGGGUGAGAGCCCCGUACAGUCGGACACCUAGCCUCUGUAAAGCUCCUUCGACGAGUCGAGUAGUUUGGGAAUGCUGCUCAAAAUGGGAGGUAAAUUUCUUCUAAAGCUAAAUACCGGCCAGAGACCGAUAGCGCACAAGUAGAGUGAUCGAAAGAUGAAAAGCACUUUGAAAAGAGGGUUAAACAGUACGUGAAAUUGUUGAAAGGGAAGCGCUCGUGACCAGACUUGCGCUCGGUGGAUCAUCUAGCGUUCUCGCUGGUGCACUCCGCCGUGCUCAGGCCAGCAUCGGUUUCCCCGGGGGGAUAAAAGCUUCGGGAACGUGGCUCCUUCGGGAGUGUUAUAGCCCGCUGCACAAUGCCUUCGGGGGGACCGAGGUUCGCGCUCCGCAAGGAUGCUGGCGUAAUGGUUACCGGCGACCCGUCUUGAAACACGGACCAAGGAGUCAAGCAUUAGGGCGAGUGUUUGGGUGUAAAACCCGCACGCGUAAUGAAAGUGAACGUAGGUGAGAGCUUCGGCGCAUCAUCGACCGAUCCUGAUGUUCUCGGAUGGAUUUGAGUAAGAGCCUUACCGCUUGGACCCGAAAGAUGGUGAACUAUGCCUGUAUAGGGUGAAGCCAGAGGAAACUCUGGUGGAGGCUCGCAGCGGUUCUGACGUGCAAAUCGAUCGUCAAAUAUGGGCAUGGGGGCGAAAGACUAAUCGAACCAUCUAGUAGCUGGUUACCGCCGAAGUUUCCCUCAGGAUAGC
RNAcentral lists this ribosomal RNA (907 nucleotides) under Brachysporium nigrum. RNAcentral describes it as "LSU rRNA". It matches the Rfam family "Eukaryotic large subunit ribosomal RNA", at positions 42 to 982 of the family's 3401-position model. The record is from RNAcentral. Lineage: Eukaryota; Fungi; Ascomycota; Sordariomycetes.